This 253-nucleotide ribosomal RNA is filed under the name uncultured bacterium. Its description in RNAcentral is "partial 16S ribosomal RNA". It matches the Rfam family "Bacterial small subunit ribosomal RNA", at positions 524 to 776 of the family's 1533-position model. The record is from RNAcentral.
UACGGAGGGUGCGAGCGUUAAUCGGAAUAACUGGGCGUAAAGGGCACGCAGGCGGGCUUUUAAGUGGAAUGUGGAAGCCCCGGGCUUAACUUGGGAAUAGCAUUUCAGACUGGGAGUCUAGAGUACUUUAGGGAGGGGUAGAAUUCCACGUGUAGCGGUGAAAUGCGUAGAGAUGUGGAGGAAUACCGAAGGCGAAGGCAGCCCCGUAGGAAUGUACUGACGCUCAUGUGCGAAAGCGUGGGGAGCAAACAGG